This 320-nucleotide ribosomal RNA is filed under the name uncultured Prevotella sp. Its description in RNAcentral is "bacterial SSU rRNA". It matches the Rfam family "Bacterial small subunit ribosomal RNA", at positions 28 to 339 of the family's 1533-position model. The record is from RNAcentral. Lineage: Bacteria; Pseudomonadati; Bacteroidota; Bacteroidia; Bacteroidales; Prevotellaceae.
GAUGAACGCUAGCUACAGGCUUAACACAUGCAAGUCGAGGGGCAGCAUGGAGUUUGCUUGCAAACUCUGAUGGCGACCGGCGCACGGGUGAGUAACGCGUAUCCAACCUUCCCCGUAGUAGGGCAUAGCCCGGUGAAAAUCGGAUUAAUACCCUAUGUUUUCCGAAGCGGGCAUCUAAUUCGGAGCAAAGGUUUACCGCUAUGGGAUGGGGAUGCGUCUGAUUAGGUAGUCGGCGGGGUAACGGCCCACCGAGCCAUCGAUCAGUAGGGGUUCUGAGAGGAAGGUCCCCCACAUUGGAACUGAGACACGGUCCAAACUCC